GACGAACGCUGGCGGCGUGCCUAAUACAUGCAAGUCGAGCGAAGUUUUUCUGGUGCUUGCCCUAGAAAAACUUAGCGGCGAACGGGUGAGUAACACGUAAAGAACCUGCCUCAUAGACUGGGACAACUAUUGGAAACGAUAGCUAAUACCGGAUAACAGUAUUUCUCGCAUGAGAGAUAUUUAAAAGUUGGUUAUGCUAACACUAUGAGAUGGCUUUGCGGUGCAUUAGCUAGUUGGUGGGGUAAAGGCCCACCAAGGCGACGAUGCAUAGCCGACCUGAGAGGGUGAUCGGCCACACUGGGACUGAGACACGGCCCAGACUCCUACGGGAGGCAGCAGUAGGGAAUCUUCCGCAAUGGGCGAAAGCCUGACGGAGCAACGCCGCGUGAGUGAAGAAGGAUUUCGGUUCGUAAAGCUCUGUUGUUAGGGAAGAAUGGAUAUGUAGUAACUAUACAUGUAAGAGAUGGUACCUAACCAGAAAGCCACGGCUAACUACGUG
RNAcentral lists this ribosomal RNA (499 nucleotides) under uncultured bacterium. Its description in RNAcentral is "partial 16S ribosomal RNA". It matches the Rfam family "Bacterial small subunit ribosomal RNA", at positions 28 to 507 of the family's 1533-position model. The record is from RNAcentral.